Molecule: long non-coding RNA, 498 nt
Filed under: Brassica napus (rape)
Lineage: Eukaryota; Viridiplantae; Streptophyta; Magnoliopsida; Brassicales; Brassicaceae
Description: long non-coding RNA (BNAP_LNC021469)
Source: RNAcentral
AUUAUGCAAAAUUUAUUUAAGAUUAGAAGCAACUCAUGCAUACAUAGAUUCAUUCUCAACAUACUACCCCCUUUUGUUAUAAGUAAUCUCAACUUUUACCCCUUUUUAUCAUCAUCUUAAAAUCAAAGCAAACCCCUCACAUCACUCACCCAAUGAACAGCUCUCUUUUUCUUUUGACUCAACUACUAGGGAUUUUAAUUCACUCUUUACAAACUCUAACUCUUUUUCAUUCCCUUCCCCAACUUCUCUUUGAUUUUUCUCUUUUUUAUUUUUAUUUUUAUUUUUAUUUUUUUUUUAUUAGGGAGAAGGUUCUUUGUUGCAUAAUCAAGAGCUUCAUAUUUUCUUUUGGUAGAGUACCUCUCUAAUAAGCGUGGGAGGAGGCCGAUGCCUCAUCCUCGGUGUCAGCUUCCUCAUCUGUAGAGGCAAGGGAUGGAGAUUUGUUUCCUGAGUCGGACUGUUGAGCUGGUGGGUUUCUCUUCUGGCGGAGCAGCUCUUUCU